This 460-nucleotide ribosomal RNA is filed under the name uncultured Bacteroidota bacterium. Its description in RNAcentral is "bacterial SSU rRNA". It matches the Rfam family "Bacterial small subunit ribosomal RNA", at positions 338 to 795 of the family's 1533-position model. The record is from RNAcentral. Lineage: Bacteria; Pseudomonadati; Bacteroidota.
CCUACGGGCGGCUGCAGUGAGGAAUAUUGGUCAAUGGGCGCAAGCCUGAACCAGCCAUCCCGCGUGCAGGAAGACGGCCCUAUGGGUUGUAAACUGCUUUUCCAGGGGGAGAAUUUUUCUGUCGUGACAGGAAUUGACGGUACCCUGGGAAUAAGCAUCGGCUAACUCCGUGCCAGCAGCCGCGGUAAUACGGAGGAUGCGAGCGUUAUCCGGAUUUAUUGGGUUUAAAGGGUGCGUAGGCGGAUAGAUAAGUCAGUGGUGAAAACCUGCAGCUUAACUGUAGACUUGCCGUUGAUACUGUCAGUCUUGAGUAUGGUCAAGGUAGGCGGAAUGUGUAAUGUAGCGGUGAAAUGCUUAGAUAUUACACAGAACACCGAUUGCGAAGGCAGCUUACUGGGCCAUUACUGACGCUGAUGCACGAAAGCGUGGGGAUCGAACAGGAUUAGAUACCCCUGUAGUC